UACAGAGGUCUCAAGCGUUGUUCGGAUUCAUUGGGCGUAAAGGGUGCGUAGGUGGCGCCGUAAGUCGGGUGUGAAAUUUCGGAGCUUAACUCCGAAACUGCAUUCGAUACUGCGGUGCUUGAGGACUGGAGAGGAGACUGGAAUUCAUGGUGUAGCAGUGAAAUGCGUAGAGAUCAUGAGGAAGACCAGUGGCGAAGGCGGGUCUCUGGACAGUUCCUGACACUGAGGCACGAAGGCUAGGGGAGCAAACAGG
This 253-nucleotide ribosomal RNA is filed under the name uncultured bacterium. Its description in RNAcentral is "partial 16S ribosomal RNA". It matches the Rfam family "Bacterial small subunit ribosomal RNA", at positions 524 to 776 of the family's 1533-position model. The record is from RNAcentral.